GGUUGUGUAGUGUAAGGGUAACACCUCUGUUUGUAUUGAAGGUGAUAUGAUCUUGCCGCAGAUGAUGUGGGUUCGAAUCCCGCCGCAACCA
Non-coding RNA from Mycena polygramma, 91 nucleotides. NCBI's taxonomy places the organism in Eukaryota, Fungi, Basidiomycota, Agaricomycetes, Agaricales, Mycenaceae. The record is from the annotation of a GenBank genome assembly.